CGCGUAGGCGGGGAGGUAAGUCGGGUGUGAAAUCCCUCGGCCCAACCGAGGAACUGCGCCCGAGACUGCUUCUCUUGAGUCCCGGAGAGGAAGGUGGAAUUCCCGGUGUAGCGGUGAAAUGUGUAGAGAUCGGGAGGAACACCGGUGGCGAAGGCGGCCUUCUGGACGGUGACUGACGCUGAGGCGCGAAAGCGUGGAGAGCAAACG
This 207-nucleotide ribosomal RNA is filed under the name uncultured bacterium. RNAcentral describes it as "partial 16S ribosomal RNA". It matches the Rfam family "Bacterial small subunit ribosomal RNA", at positions 568 to 774 of the family's 1533-position model. The record is from RNAcentral.